RNAcentral lists this ribosomal RNA (197 nucleotides) under uncultured bacterium. RNAcentral's name for it is "partial 16S ribosomal RNA". It matches the Rfam family "Bacterial small subunit ribosomal RNA", at positions 160 to 353 of the family's 1533-position model. The record is from RNAcentral.
AAGAUAAUACCGCAUAAGAUUGUAGUAUCGCAUGAUAUAGCAAUUAAAGGAGCAAUUCGCUAUAAGAUGGACCCGCGUCGCAUUAGCUAGUUGGUGAGGUAAUGGCUCACCUAGGCGACGAUCCCUAGCUGGUCUGAGAGGAUGACCAGCCACACUGGAACUGAGACACGGUCCAGACUCCUACGGGAGGCAGCAUG